RNAcentral lists this ribosomal RNA (501 nucleotides) under uncultured bacterium. RNAcentral describes it as "bacterial SSU rRNA". It matches the Rfam family "Bacterial small subunit ribosomal RNA", at positions 899 to 1397 of the family's 1533-position model. The record is from RNAcentral.
ACUCAAAGGAAUUGACGGGGACCCGCACAAGCAGCGGAGCAUGUUGUUUAAUUCGACGCAACGCGAAAAACCUUACCAAAUCUUGACAUCCCUGUGACCGGUCAUAUAAAGUGACCCUUCUCUUCGGAGACAUAGGAGACAGGUGGUGCAUGGUUGUCGUCAGCUCGUGUCGUGAGAUGUUGGGUUAAGUCCCGCAACGAGCGCAACCCCUAUCUUUAGUUGCCAUCGGGUGAUGCCGGGCACUCUAGAGAGACUGCCGGAGACAAUCCGGAGGAAGGUGGGGAUGAUGUCAAAUCAUCAUGCCCUUUAUGAUUUGGGCUACAAACGUGCUACAAUGGUCGGUACAACGGGUCGCUAACCAGUAAUGGGGUGCUAAUCCAAAAAGCCGAUCUCAGUUCGGAUUGAGGGCUGCAACUCGCCCUCAUGAAGUUGGAGUUGCUAGUAAUCGCGAAUCAGCAUGUCGCGGUGAAUGCGUUCCCGGGUCUUGUACACACCGCCCGU